AACGUAGGUUCCGAGCGUUAUCCGGAUUUACUGGGCGUAAAGCGCGUUCAGGCGGUUUGGCAAGUCGGGCAUGAAAUCUCUCGGCUCAACCGGGAGAGGUUGUCCGAUACUGCUGGACUUGAGGGCAGUAGAGGGUGGUGGAAUUCCGGGUGUAGUGGUGAAAUGCGUAGAUAUCCGGAGGAACACCAGUGGCGAAAGCGGCCACCUGGACUGCACCUGACGCUGACACGCGAAAGCCAGGGGAGCAAACGGG
Molecule: ribosomal RNA, 253 nt
Filed under: uncultured bacterium
Lineage: Bacteria
Description: partial 16S ribosomal RNA
Rfam family: Bacterial small subunit ribosomal RNA
Source: RNAcentral